GCUAGCGUAGCUUAAACCAAAGCAUAACACUGAAGAUGUUAAGAUGAUCCCUAGAAAUGUUCCGCAGGCA
This 70-nucleotide transfer RNA is filed under the name Ameiurus catus (white catfish). RNAcentral's name for it is "tRNA-Phe". It matches the Rfam family "tRNA". From Rfam's summary of the family: Transfer RNA (tRNA) molecules are approximately 80 nucleotides in length. Their secondary structure includes four short double-helical elements and three loops (D, anti-codon, and T loops). Further hydrogen bonds mediate the characteristic L-shaped molecular structure. tRNAs have two regions of fundamental functional importance: the anti-codon, which is responsible for specific mRNA codon recognition, and the 3' end, to which the tRNAs corresponding amino acid is attached (by aminoacyl-tRNA synthetases). tRNAs cope with the degeneracy of the genetic code in two manners: having more than one tRNA (with a specific anti-codon) for a particular amino acid; and 'wobble' base-pairing, i.e. permitting non-standard base-pairing at the 3rd anti-codon position. RNAcentral also lists the same sequence under 1 other name. Lineage: Eukaryota; Metazoa; Chordata; Actinopteri; Siluriformes; Ictaluridae. The record is from RNAcentral.